CCUACGGGAGGCAGCAGUAGGGAAUAUUGGGCAAUGGGCGGAAGCCUGACCCAGCCACGCCGCGUGCAGGAAGACGGCCCUCUGGGUUGUAAACUGCUUUUAACUGGGAAGAAAGCAGCUCAUGCGUGAGAAUUUGACGGUACCAGUUGAAUAAGCCACGGCUAACUACGUGCCAGCAGCCGCGGUAAUACGUAGGUGGCGAGCGUUAUCCGGAUUUAUUGGGUUUAAAGGGAGCGUAGGCGGCUGAUUAAGUCAGCGGUGAAAGGUAGCAGCUUAACUGUUUUACAUGCCGUUGAUACUGGUUAGCUUGAGUUGACAGAAGGCAGAUAGAAUUCCUGAUGUAGCGGUGAAAUGCUUAGAUAUCAGGAGGAAUACCGAUUGCGAAGGCAGUCUGCUGCAGUCACACUGACGCUGAGGCUCGAAGGUGCGGGGAUCAAACAGGAUUAGAUACCCUGGUAGUCCGCACAGUAAACGAUGAUUACUAGAUGUUGGCUAUGCCAGUGUCCAAGGGAACCCGAUAAGUAAUCCACCUGGGGAGUACGCCGGCAACGGUGAAACGUCAAAUGAAUUGACGG
This 575-nucleotide ribosomal RNA is filed under the name uncultured bacterium. RNAcentral describes it as "bacterial SSU rRNA". It matches the Rfam family "Bacterial small subunit ribosomal RNA", at positions 338 to 916 of the family's 1533-position model. The record is from RNAcentral.